Molecule: long non-coding RNA, 359 nt
Filed under: Calidris pugnax (ruff)
Lineage: Eukaryota; Metazoa; Chordata; Aves; Charadriiformes; Scolopacidae
Description: lncRNA (ENSCPUG00000012309.1)
Source: RNAcentral
AUUUGGGCUAAAUUGUGACCCUGCAUUAAAAAUCAGUGUUAGUCACAAGCAUAUUUAUUCAGUAUUCAUUUCUCUAGUUAUUUUAGUAGGAAGAGAAAGACAAAUUUACACAAAAGAACAGAUAGGGGAAGUAACUGACAGCACUCGUGGUACCUUGACUCUUCUCACCCCUCAGACCAUAUGAAGAAAGCAGAAUGAUGUGGGUCUUGCAUCUCUUCUGCACACAAAUUUCUGUGAAUCAAAGCUUUGACUGAUGCUUUUUGUGGAGAUUAGUCUUCAACAAUCCACGUAAGUUCAAAAACUGGAUACCUCGUUUGAUAUCCUUUUUCGUUUUGUUUUUAUGUUUCUGUGUUAUCUCA